This 377-nucleotide unclassified non-coding RNA is filed under the name uncultured Oligoflexales bacterium. RNAcentral's name for it is "contains 16S-23S intergenic spacer region". Lineage: Bacteria; Pseudomonadati; Bdellovibrionota; Oligoflexia; Oligoflexales. The record is from RNAcentral.
UCCGGUUUAACACCGGCGGUCUCCCUAGAGUGCCCAACUAAAUGGUGGCAACUAGGGACAAGGGUUGCGCUCGUUAAGGGACUUAACCCGACAUCUCACGAUACGAGCUGACGACAGCCAUGCAGCACCUGUCUCCCGGCCCCCGAAGGGGAAGCCCUAUCUCUAGGACGGUCCGGGGAUGUCAAGCCCAGGUAAGGUUCUUCGCGUUGCAUCGAAUUAAACCACAUGCUCCACCGCUUGUGCGGGCCCCCGUCAAUUCCUUUGAGUUUUAAUCUUGCGACCGUACUUCCCAGGCGGGGUACUUAAUGCGUUAGCGUCGGCACUGCGAGGGUCAAUUCCCGCAACACCUAGUACCCAUCGUUUACGGCGUGGACUAC